UACGUAGGGUGCGAGCGUUGCCCGGAUUUAUUGGGCGUAAAGGGCGCGUAGGCGGUCACGCACGUCCGUUGUGAAAUCGCUCUGCUCAACUGGGCGGGGUCAGCGGAUACGGCGUGGCUGGAGCAAGCUAGGGGGCAAUGGAAUUCCCGGUGUAGUGGUGGAAUGCGUAGAUAUCGGGAGGAACACCAGUGGCGAAGGCGGUUGCCUGGAGCUUUGCUGACGCUGAUGCGCGAAAGCGUGGGUAGCAAACAGG
RNAcentral lists this ribosomal RNA (253 nucleotides) under uncultured bacterium. RNAcentral describes it as "partial 16S ribosomal RNA". It matches the Rfam family "Bacterial small subunit ribosomal RNA", at positions 524 to 776 of the family's 1533-position model. The record is from RNAcentral.